This 450-nucleotide ribosomal RNA is filed under the name uncultured bacterium. RNAcentral describes it as "partial 16S ribosomal RNA". It matches the Rfam family "Bacterial small subunit ribosomal RNA", at positions 354 to 796 of the family's 1533-position model. The record is from RNAcentral.
GUGGGGAAUCUUCCGCAAUGGACGAAAGUCUGACGGAGCAACGCCGCGUGAGUGAUGAAGGUCUUCGGAUUGUAAAGCUCUGUUAAUCGGGACGAAAGAGCCUAGUGUGAAUAAUGCUAGGAAGUGACGGUACCGGAAUAGAAAGCCACGGCUAACUACGUGCCAGCAGCCGCGGUAAUACGUAGGUGGCAAGCGUUGUCCGGAAUUAUUGGGCGUAAAGCGCGCGCAGGCGGAUCUGCCAGUCUGUCUUAAAAGUUCGGGGCUUAACCCCGUGAUGGGAAGGAAACUACAGAUCUAGAGUAUCGGAGAGGAAAGUGGAAUUCCUAGUGUAGCGGUGAAAUGCGUAGAUAUUAGGAAGAACACCAGUGGCGAAGGCGACUUUCUGGACGAAAACUGACGCUGAGGCGCGAAAGCCAGGGGAGCGAACGGGAUUAGAUACCCUAGUAGUCC